This is a long non-coding RNA of Aedes albopictus (Asian tiger mosquito), 7896 nucleotides long. RefSeq lists it as uncharacterized. The transcript is spliced from 2 exons. NCBI's taxonomy places the organism in Eukaryota, Metazoa, Arthropoda, Insecta, Diptera, Culicidae. The record is from RefSeq and is a predicted model, not a curated record.
AUCAAUUAGCGAAUGUGGGGUAAAAUUCGAUCCGUUUGUAAUCGUUUUUUCCCCCUUGGGUUGAAGGUUGAUCGGGAUGGACGGACGCCAUCUUGAAUAACGUGUUGAGUGACGAAAAUGUGUUUCGAUGUGUGUGCGUGAGGCUGUGCGAGUGUGUGCAACGUCGUGACGGUCGGUACUUGUGUACCGAAUUUGGGGGGGUUGUGGAAAUUUCGCAGACCGCUGACUUGAUAUUCAUGGUUUUGGCGAAAUUCAAUGACAAACACAAAAACGGGGCCAAACAGUGGGGCUAUGUUGCCAUGGCUUUGCCGUCUUUCCGUAGGUAUCGUUAUUCAAUGAAAGUUGCGGACUAGGAAAGCAACGGUUGAGUCACGUAAUCGUCAAUGUGCGAACCAGACUACAGUCAACUUUCGGUCGUUGGGCUACGUUUAGGUGGGCUACGUUUUAACUGGGCGCCCGUUAGGUGGGCUAUAGCCCAGUUAAAACGAAGUCAAACGUCACUUUUUGACAUGAAGCACGAUUUGUCAAGGUUGGUAGCCCUGAAUCUCUAUUGUUAAAGAUUAUUUGACAGCUCAAAACUCAGCCCACCUAGUGAAAGUCUUUCACUAACUGGGCUACGAGCUUAGUGCAACGAGCGAAAGUUGACUGUACAGUCAACUUUCGGUCGUUGGGCUACGUUUAGGUGGGCUACGUUUUAACUGGGCGCCCGUUAGGUGGGCUAUAGCCCAGUUAAAACGAAGUCAAACGUCACUUUUUGACAUGAAGCACGAUUUGUCAAGGUUGGUAGCCCUGAAUCUCUAUUGUUAAAGAUUAUUUGACAGCUCAAAACUCAGCCCACCUAGUGAAAGUCUUUCACUAACUGGGCUACGAGCUUAGUGCAACGAGCGAAAGUUGACUGUACUUUGUUUACAUUGUUCGGUAAAAAGGUCAUUCAAGUCUUGGAGAUAAGGAGGUGAUUCAUCAAGGUACCUAGACGGAAAUCCCGAAAAACUUUUUUUCAUCUGAAAUGUACAGCGUAUUAUUUCGUAUCGGAGUAGAGUUUUGUUCUGCUUUGCAUUUAAUGUAAAUCACUAGAAUAGCACUCGGUAAUAAGCAAGGUACUGAGUUAACGCACAGUGAACUAAAGUAAGUCUGUAUAUGACGAUAUUUUAAACCGAAGUUUAAAAUGUAUUACUUAUUCUAAAAAGAGUGCGGGUCAUACUGUGGGUGACGCGUUCGAUUCCCUGUAGGACCAAGAUUUUUUCGUAAUGUUUUUUUUCUUUGACUUCCUUGGGCAUAGAGUAUCUUCGUGUCUGCCAUACUGCAUAUCAUGUACAAAAUAAUCUUUGGCAGAGGAAACUCUCAGUUAACAACUGUGGAAGUGUACAUAAAAUACUAAACUAAGAAACAGGAUUUGUCUCAGUGAUGACGUUACCGCAAGAGGAGGAAGAGAGCUUUUCCAAGAUAUACUUGAACUACACGCAAUGAUCGUCGUCUAAUUCCUCAAUUAAUUACUGUGGAAGUGCUCUAAGAACACUAACUUGAAGAGAGGAAGGCCAAGUUCCAAUGCGAACGACGUGCCAUAAAGAAGAUGAAGAAGUAUUUUGUUCUUGAACGGAUCUUUUCUGUCUUUCAAAUAAACGAACCAGCCAAGGGAUGAAAGUCUCUAUAAUAUAUCUAAAUCAAUCAAUUUUCUGUCUUAGGUCUCAACCAUCAUCGAGGCACUUCGAUUGUCGCCAUAGAUAACGAGAUAUUCUAGAUUCUAGGCUUCCAUUCAUUUUUAUCUACAACUAUUUCAGCCAAUAUGCCUCUUCUACUGCUCUUACCAUCGAUAAAGAUAAAUAAGUCUGCUUCCUAUAUAAUCAGCCCAUUAUUCUUCCGUUUAUCUUGAAUGCAUAUUGGCUAUUCUAUUUGCAUUCUUUCCUAUUUUCUGCCCAAUAAGCAAUACAAUACAAUUCCUGAGCCAAGGGCUGGAAGUCUCUAUAAUUAAGAAAAAUUAAUCAAUCACAAUUCCUGCAAGUCCAGACAUUUUGACGCAACCGGUAACUAUGUUUGCCUUUCAGAUACCAGAUAGGUAACACGUUUUCGUUUUAGUUCAAUCUAACCCGCUUGAGUAAGUCGGUUGAAUUUUUGAUCCGUUACAGCAUACGGUCUCGGAUUUCUCAGUGUAGGAUUAAUAUUCACGUUUAUAGUGUCUCUGACAAUAAAAAAAAUCUCUGAUCAGGAGUCAUGCGUGCGUUGCCUUUUUCUUAGGCAAAUACCUCCACUCGUGACCCAUCCAAACACCUUUCAAUCUCUAUGACCUGUUGUGCCGGAAAGAUUUUGAAAAUAAUGGUCAACCGUCGAAUCAAACAAUACUUAGAAGAUAACGAACUUCUAGACUCUCGAAAGCAUGCUUUCCGUCAAGGUUUCGGAACAUCUACAUACUUUGUCGAACUCGGCGAUGUUCUUCAGGAAGCUUCUGACCAAGGGCACCACCACUGGAUAUUCCUAAAGCGUUCAACUGUACAUGGACAUUCUAAGGCAACUAUAAAACUGGGGCAUAUGCGGACAUACGCUGCAGCUGCAUUUCGUUUGUAACUUUCUUUCUAGACGGUUUUUCCGGGUCGUUAUCGGAAACACUGAAUGCUUUCUCAAGGACCGUACGUUCCAAGUUUCUGUGAACGGAUGUACUUCAGAUCGAAAGCCCGUCCCGUUUGGAGUUCCCCAAGGUUCUGUGUUGAGCCCAACUCUGUACAACAUUUUCUCGGCCGACAUAGUGAAAGUCAACGGAAUACAAUACUACCGUCAAGGCACCAUUCACCGUGGAUUUAAGAGGAUUCGGGGCAAAUAAGGGCUGUCAUUUGACACCAGUCCUAUAAACAUUGUUGGUGCCGCUUUUAAUUGCCUUCAUUAUAGGUUAAAAUUAAAGCAAUAUCCACAGAAGUAGAAAAUUUUUCACAAAAUUUGGUGAUAUAGUCCAAUUAGUAAAGGGUAGUAGGGUCGCCUAAUUCCGUGGUAGGUCACCAUUCACCGUGGUAGUAGGGACCCAUUCACCGUGUAUGAAAAAUUUUAUUCUACUUUGUUUAAAAAUGAUCAAAAAAACCCAGCCAAGGGAAUUUUCUUCGUUUAAAUUCAUUUCAAGUAAUAACUUGCAAGAUUUUAUUGAAAAAACGAAUUUUCAAAUUUUCGAUUUUUUCUAGAUAUAUGGGACAAUAUGGGGCACGGUGAAUGGAGACCAUUGAUUUUUAGGGUACCCAUUUACCGUGCCUUUGUGGUUUCAAUUAAAAAGUACGAGUAAUCGUACUUUCUUGUUAAACUUACUUCGGUAAUGCAAAAUACAUACCUGAUAUGUGAAUUUAAUUGCUUCUUGGUGGAAUAAAAACGUUACUACAUUUAGUUUAUCGCUUAAAUCACCUUAGCGCAGUUUUCGUUUUUUCACCAUGAAUGCAGUGAACGAGCAGAAACCCGCUUCAUGUAAACACACUUUAAUGUCAAAAUGAUACUUUUAAAUGUUUUUAAUGAGCGUUUUGACAUGGUAACAAUACAUUAGUGUUAUAUUGGUGAAAUUGAAGGGAAAUUGUCAUAUCAUUCAAUCAUAAUAUGGAAAUAAUGAAAAAAUAUUAGAAGGCACACGGUGAAUGGAGCCCCCACGGUGAAUGGCGCCUUGACGGUACUUCUUCGCAGAUGACACUGGUUUUUUGGCUUCUCAUCGCGACGCUGAAGUUGUCAUCGAUUCCCUCCAAGAAGCGCAGAACUCUAUCCAAGAGUAUCAAAGAAAAUGGAAAGUUAGGGUUAAUCCUGCGAAGUCCCAAGCUAUUUUCUUCACCCGCCGUAGAAGCCCUAGAUUUCUACCUCAGAGUCUUGUCUCUUGCAAUGGUGUGGACAUUCCGUGGUCGCCAAAUGUCGACUAUCUAGGUGUAACGCUGGACCAGAAGCUGAAAUUCGACUGCCAUGUGACCAACUGCCUUAAAAAAUGCGACAAACUCACUAGAAUGUUGUAUCCGCUGGUCAGAGGGGCUCUCGCUUGGAUUCCAACAUCAAAAUCCUGCUGUACAAAACCGUUUUUCGGCCUACGGUUUCGUAUGGGUUUCCAGCUUGGUACGACUGCGCCAACGCUCACCGGAAGAAAGUACAAGUUAAGCAGAACCGCUUGCUCAAAAUGAUUCUGGAUCUGAGCACCUUCCAUCCAACUACAGAUGUCCACCGUCUUGCUGGAGUGGAGUUAAUCGAUGACUGGUUCCGGAGACUCAUUCCCAAAUUCCAACAGAGCUGCGCCACAUCUUUAAAUCCUCUGUUACAAGAGUUGGCCGUAUGAAAGACAUGUGAUAUUAGAAUUAAGCUUUUCUCUUCUAUAAUGUUUCCUACGCUAUUUCAAAGGUUUUUUUGUCUGAAAUUUUUCCUUUUUUGUCAAAAUUGUUGCUAGUCGUUUGUUAGUUUUCAUCAAAGAAGUGCUUGUUCUAUGUCAUUGCUGUAAGGAAUCCCAAAUCUCAAUGUUCAACUCCUAAAAACUCAUUGUAUUCGUUAAGGUAGAAAUAAAUAUUGAAUUGAAUUGAAUCGUUUCGUUUCGCCGAAGAAACUGCCGUUCCACAAGGGUCUGUCUUGGCAGUGACGCUCUUUCUCGUUGCGAUGAACGUAAUAUUUGAUGCAAUAUAGGGCAAUAUCCACAUCACGAUAUUGUCAUCGUCGUUUUCGGACCCACACUUACCAUGACAAAGAUCCGUGCUCAGGCUGCAGUGAAAAGAGUGGCAAAAUGGGCAUCUUACAUUGGCUCUCGGCUCUCGGCUAGUAAAAACGUUAGAUGUCACCAGUGGCGUCUCGUAACCUCACUUUUUACCUGUUCAACGACUUUAAAACUUGCAUUUGCGGAGAAUACAGGAUCUGGAUCAAAUUGAAAAUGGACUCAAACGACUGUUCUCGUUAUUUUCUACAAAUUACAAGCAAAUUUGUUAAGAAAAUUCAAGAUUUUACAUUCGUUGAACAGGUAGAUUUGAGGUUAGGGAAUCGCCCCUGGAUGUCACAUCUGUCCAUUCGGGCAUAACAUAAAAGGUCCACCUAUAACAAUUGAAGGACAGGAAAUUCUACUUCGUAAGUCGAUCCGCAUCUUGGAUGUACUGUUAGACCGUACGCUGUCGUUUCGUCAACACUUUGAGUCAGUAUAAGCAGACGUCACGCCCGUGAACGACAUACCGACAGUAUCCCGCUCAGGGGACUUAAACAAUGGAUCAAAUCUAGCUUCCUUCGGGUACCUUAUGGAGCUAAUCAAGAGCAGCAAAAAUACGGUUGAACCAAAAGCCAAUAAGGUAAAGAAGUGCUUUGUCCGCCUAUAACUGAAGUGUUCAAGGCUAGCGUCACUCUGGGUUAGCAUGGAGGAAGGUUCGAGUUGUUUUUAUUCCGAAUAAAGCUGGCAAAAUGGUUAAAACAACUCUCAAAGCCUUCAGACCGAUACGCCUUCCUCAGUUCUAUUGGAAACUAUGGAAAAUAUAUUGGAUGACUAUAUCAAGUCAACCAGUUCUUAGCAAAUUUCAUAUUGCGUAUCAAGCAGGUAAAUCUACAAUAAGGCAUGCGACAGAUGCGAUCAGCUGAUAUUUUUUGUUUACCAUGUAUUUUUGACAUUCGAUGAUCGGGGUGACAGUUGAAUACAAAGGAACUUGUUAAGCACCAACGACACUUGACGAAACAUUGGUAAGUUCUACUCACAUCGUGUUUACAUUUUUGGCUGCCACCCCCAUCGCGAAAAGUCGUCAUGGAUUGCCUUAUAACAGCGCAUUAGUCGCUAGUAUAUUAAAUCGAAGACCACUUUAUCAAGAAGACUUGCAGCACUGCUUAAAAUCGGGAGUCACUGUUAGCAGCGCCACCACGGAUUAAGGUGGAAGCAUUUAUGGUAGUGUGUGUAAAUCUUCAUACUCGCACCAAUACACUCUUACACUUUUAUACAGAGGUACCACCUUAGCUCAACAGGCGGCGAUGCCGUCGGUGUGAUUCUAUAACAUUCCCCAGAAAACCAUUCCCCAGAAAACCAAUCCCCAGAAUUCCAUUCCCCAGAAUGUACCAUUCCCCAGAAAACCAUUUCCCAGAAACCCAUUCCCCAGAAUGUACCAUUUCCCAGAAAUCCAUUCCCCAGAAUGUACCAUUCCCCAGAAUUCUAUUCCCCAGAAUGUACCAUUCUCCAGAAAAAAAUAAAACUAUUGCUUUAAUUCUGAAUGGUUUAUAUUAAUAGCUAAAAAUCAAAUAUUUAUUCGUAAAAAAUCACCGGAAGAAACAUCCUGCCAAAAAUUCUUAUUUGACAAGAAAGACUUCGGAAAUCAGCAUGAUUUGCCUUUACAAUUUAGGCUAUUGGUAUAAUUAUUGGCAUCGCAACUGCUUACUUUUUCAACAUACAUUUUUCCUUCUUUUCUGCAUAGGCUGUUCUUUCGAAUUGUACUUUUCAGUAAAUUAUCGGCAUCAGAACUUUUUACAUUUUCUACGUAGUUUUUUCCUUCUUUUCUGCAUAGGCUAUUCUUUCAAGUUACACUAUUCAGGUCAUUAUCGGCACCACAAGCACAGGUGUUUAGAAAUUUAGAAAAAAUAUGAAAUAAAUAUAACAGCAAUUUCAACACCGGUGGAGGCUGCAAUGCCCAUAAUUUCCCGAAAAGUGCAAUUCGAAAGAACAGCCUAUGCAAAAAAGAAGGGAGAAUCAAUGUUAAAAAAGUAAGCAGUUGCAAUGCCGAUAAUUUCUUGAAAAGUGCAACUGGAAAGAACAGCCUAUGCAAAAGAAGGGAAAAUUUUUGAUAAACAUAUAAGCAGUUGUAAUGCCAACAAUUCUUAUAACGACUCAAACAUUUUUUUUAACGAAGAAGGAAACGUAACACUCUGAUAAUUUCCAUCGUACAUCGAUUUAACGGUUUAUUUGAAAAUUUGAGAGUUGACCAACUGCCAAUUCGCGGCGCUCGCAUAGUUUUUGUUUGAGUUUGACGUUUGCUCACUACUGCCACCUAGUUGAUGAUUGGCCAAAUUCAGUCCUUUUAGAAUUAAGCGAACCUAUUUCCGAGACUAAAAUUUAAAUCGAAAAAUGUUCGAAGUGUUACGUCUGUUUGUCUGUGGUGACAUUGUUUUCCUUGCGGCAUUCAAAAACCCAACACUGUUCCUUUUUUUAAACAAGCUUUUUUUUAGAAUUUAGGCAAUUGGUACAAUUAUUGGAAUUAUAACUGCUUUCAUUUUCAACAUAGACUUUUCCUUCUCUGCUGCAUAGGCUGUUCUUUCGAAUUGCACUUUUCAGGAAAUUAUCGGCAUCACAACUGCUUACUUUUUCAACAUAGAUUUUCCCUUCUUUUCUACAUAGGCUGUUCUUUCGAGUUACAAUGUUUAGGCUAGUUACAAUCGGCACCACAAGCACAGGUGUUUAGAAAUUUGAAAAAAAAAAUUAAUAAUAAAUAUAACAGCAACACCGGUGGUUGUAAUAAUGCCCAUAAUUUCCUGAAAAGUGCAAUUCGAAAGAACAGCCUAUGUAGAAGAGAAGGGAGAAUCUAUGUUGAAAAUGUAAGCAGUUAUAAUUUAAAAUUUUUUACUAAUUGCCUUAAUUUUAAGAAGAAUAUUGUUUAAAAAGAAGGAACAUUGUUGGGUUUUUGAAUGCCAAAAGGAAAACAAUGAUACUUUUUCCCUUCUGUUAUCAUUCAAACUGCUUAUAUGUUCACUUUUUCUAUUCCAUUCCAUAGUAUUGGAAUAAUGAUGAAAGCCCUUCUCAUACCGCAUGAAUGAAGAGCCUUUGAAGCGAAUAAUUAGGAACAGCCAUUGGGAUGGAUCCCUCCAACCGUUUGCAAAGAAAAACGUGGUCAGUUGAGUCUUAAGUAUCUUGUACACUGAACAACAUCAGAAGAAUAUGCGUUUUCUCUGUAAAUUUUGCACAUCACUUUUAAAACGUUAUUCAUCGUAAAACAAGUGCUGCACAAUUUUCACAAA